This 728-nucleotide ribosomal RNA is filed under the name Angustibacter sp. RNAcentral describes it as "bacterial SSU rRNA". It matches the Rfam family "Bacterial small subunit ribosomal RNA", at positions 68 to 809 of the family's 1533-position model. Lineage: Bacteria; Bacillati; Actinomycetota; Actinomycetes; Kineosporiales; Kineosporiaceae. The record is from RNAcentral.
GUGACGCUGGAGCUUGCUCCAGCUGAUCAGUGGCGAACGGGUGAGUAACACGUGAGCAACCUGCCCUUGACUCUGGGAUAACCCCGGGAAACCGGAGCUAAUACCGGAUACGAACCGCACAGGCAUCUGCGUGGUUGGAAAGUUUUUCGGUCAAGGAUGGGCUCGCGGCCUAUCAGCUUGUUGGUGGGGUAACGGCCCACCAAGGCGACGACGGGUAGCCGGCCUGAGAGGGCGACCGGCCACACUGGGACUGAGACACGGCCCAGACUCCUACGGGAGGCAGCAGUGGGGAAUAUUGCACAAUGGGCGAAAGCCUGAUGCAGCGACGCCGCGUGAGGGAUGAAGGCCUUCGGGUUGUAAACCUCUUUCAGCAGGGAAGAAGCGAAAGUGACGGUACCUGCAGAAGAAGCACCGGCUAACUACGUGCCAGCAGCCGCGGUAAUACGUAGGGUGCAAGCGUUGUCCGGAAUUAUUGGGCGUAAAGAGCUCGUAGGCGGUCUGUCGCGUCUGCUGUGAAAACUCGGGGCUCAACCCCGGGCCUGCAGUGGGUACGGGCAGACUAGAGUGCGGUAGGGGAGACUGGAAUUCCUGGUGUAGCGGUGAAAUGCGCAGAUAUCAGGAGGAACACCGGUGGCGAAGGCGGGUCUCUGGGCCGUAACUGACGCUGAGGAGCGAAAGCAUGGGUAGCGAACAGGAUUAGAUACCCUGGUAGUCCAUGCCGUAAACGU